RNAcentral lists this long non-coding RNA (4624 nucleotides) under Daucus carota (carrot). RNAcentral's name for it is "long non-coding RNA (DCAR_LNC003846)". The record is from RNAcentral. Lineage: Eukaryota; Viridiplantae; Streptophyta; Magnoliopsida; Apiales; Apiaceae.
GAAGCCAGAAGAGCCAGACUUUUCCGUAGACGAGGAAUAACUAGACUCCACAGUUUUUCCUUUUAUGUAUAGGCCUUUCUUUGUUGAUUCAAGCAGGGGAGAAGUUAGAAAUGAUAGUGAGGUCAUUCUUCUAUUUGUAUGAUUAUAUGAGAAGCUGAUAGGAGACAUUUACCAAUGUAGAAUACAGUAGAAUUAACUUAGAGGUUAAGAACUUGUGCAUAUAAGAAUGUUUCAAGUAUUACUUCAUUGUAGAACUUUUGAGCACAAUUUUAGGGGUUGUUUGACCAGGUUAUUCAAGUAUUACUUCAUGUUCUUUCCAUUCACUUAACCAGGUUAUUCAAGAAACUAAUCAUAUUCUGUUAUAAAUACUGCUUAAGCAUCACCCACAGUAAGUCUCCAUUCUUUUUCGUUAUUAUUACAGGAGAACUAGAGAAGCCGAAAAAAACAUGCUAAGAACAGCCGCUUAAAAGCUAUUAAUUGUAAAAUGAUAAUAAUCGUUAUUGACACUAAAUAAUGAACACAACAGUGUUCGUUUAUCAGAACGUGAAUGAUUUUCAGAAACAAAUUUUGGCCAAAAAGGAAAACAGAACUCCAGCCGAGACUAGUCGUCAUUGACUUGUAUGCAGGGUGUUACAUAUCAUAUAUUGACAAAAAUAAUAUUUCUUUAUAUAUAUAUAUAGGCAUUUGAUCAAAUACAAACCAAUCUUAAAAUAAAAACUAAAAACCACUGUUUAAACUCUUAUAAUUACUAAGGGCACUCUGCUAAAAUAAAUAAUCUAUCUACUCACAUAUUUGCAAUCAGUCAAAUCCAGCAUAGCAUAACAACCACCCCACCCACCCAUAUCUUCCCGACCAACACUCACAGUCCCCUCCCACCUCCCCUGACCGGAGCUUCCCUGCCCACAACCCCCACCCAAUCUCCCGCGCACCACCGAUAUAAUACAUCUUGACGAUCUCGCCGAAAAAUAGAGGAAGAUGAGCUUGUUGUACAUAUACACACAAAAUAUAUACAUUUAUCGAAAAGAGCGAUUCUGAGUGAUGAGUGAUGGUUGUGCACUGGUGGUGGUGGUGGUUAGGCGGCGAAAUUGGUGGCACAAGUGACAAUCUCUCUCCCUCAAUCUUGUGGACGACUAGACUCUAUCAUUAAGAUUCUGAUAUACUUGUUGAUAUACUACAAAAGUCGAUGAUUUUUGCUGUAUAAAUUAGUGAUAUGCGCUUUAGAAAUUAGUGAUUUUUGCUUUGGAAAUUAGUGAUAUGCGCUUGAGAGAUUGGUGAUAUGCGCUUCGAAAAUUAGUGAUUUGUUUAAAUAAACUGCAACACCACUCAAUAGAUCACAGAGUAAUUACUCAUAGCUCCAUGGAAACACUCUUAAUUAGCAGACUUUGAGAUCGAAGAAGCCGAUUAAUGAAAGAGAGAGAGAUGGUUUUGCUGUAAGUGUUGAUUAUUUUGUAUGUACUGUGCGUGUAUAUCGCUGGUUUUAUUAUUAGAAAACACGCUAGCAAAGUGUUUAAAAAGUGGACAUGUGACGGUCCAGGAAUCCGGGGGUCUGGAUUCUGACGUCACCACACAAAACCCUUUUUAAAACACUUGUGAAACCCUGUAUUUUUAUUAAAGAUAAUGAAAAUCCACAAGAAUUUAAAACUUGAAACAUUUAAUAAAAGAUUUGUAUGAGAACAUAAAUCAAAUGAUUUCAAAACCUGAAUUUUAAAUUUGAAAACCAUCAUAAAAGAACUUUUCAGAGAACAUUUAAACUUUAAUAGCUGAUUCGAAAGAGAACAUUUUAACCCCCAAAAACAACAGGAUCGCUUCCAGGUUACAGUAUUGAAAUUAGAAUCUACCACUAUUAUUACACAACAUCUCUUACCAAAUCAGAUCAUCUUCGAUAAGAAGAAUCACUGUCAACUAUUCCAGCUUGCACCAACCUCAUCAACUUUCCUGAACACUCCUCGACCACUGGAUCCUCAACUCUGUCUCCUCGCCUAGCAUUAGCCUUACUCACAAUCUCAAUCAAUCAUCUCAUCUUUAAGCCUUUCUGAAAUGGUUAGAAAGGAAUAGCAAGGGUGAGCAACAAUGCUCAGCAAGUAAUAAUAAACAAUGAUAGUUCUGAAAUGAUAUAACAGAAGUUCACGAGUUCAAGAUAUAAGAGGAUUCAACCUGAGUUCAUGAGUUCAUGGUAUUGUAUAGAAUGAUUUACAAUACCUUGCAGCAUUUAAACUGAGAAAUUCAAUCUUUCCAAAGAAUUAUUGAAUUGGACUAUCACAUUUUAAUUAAAACCAAGGUUAGGCAGCUGAUCAGUUCCGCACUAACCCCGAGCAGGCCCCGCCAUGCUCUAUCACUGGAUCCAAGGCACUCAUUGGCCUAACAUGACCACGAAUCUGGUCCACAGGUUUAUAUAAAAACAAUAAUCCAAUUCUCUAAUUCAAUUCAAGAAGCCAAUGUAAAUUAACAGAACAUCAUCAUAAAUAUCAUCAACAACAGAAUAAUUCCAAUUCAAACUUUGAUAAUAAUCUAUUCAUAAAUCAUGAUCCAUCAUUUCAUAAAUCACAGUUCAGGAAAUCCUCAACUAUUCAGUAUCCUCCAUUAUCGGCUAAGCAACUGAAUUUAGCCUGCUAAACCAGCAUGACAAUGGCGGGUUGAAUAAUCAAGAAGAUCCCAAUUCAUUCAAAGCUCUAACUAUCACUGAGCAACACAUGCUUCAAUGACAAUCUGAACUUCGAAUUAAUUAAUAAAACGGAAAUUCUUUAGAAACUUGAAGAAUAGGAAGAAUGGAUCCGAACAUAUGCACUUUUAAAUAUAGAAAGGAAAGGUACGAAUUCUUGCAACAGAUACCAAAGGAAUGGAUCAGAAUAUUGGUCCACAGGUUUAUAUAAAAACAAUAAUCCAAUUCUCUAAUUCAAUUCAAGAAGCCAAUGUAAAUCAACAGAACAUCCUCAUAAAUAUCAUCAACAACAGAAUAAUUCCAAUUCAAACUUUGAUAAUAAUCUAUUCAUAAAUCAUGAUUCAUCAUUUCAUAAAUCACAGUUCAGGAAAUCCUCAACUAUUCAGUAUCCUCCAUUAUCGGCUAAGCAACUGAAUUUAGCCUGCUAAACCAGCAUGACAAUGGCGGGUUGAAUAAUCAAGAAGAUCCCAAUUCAUUCAAAGCUCUAACUAUCACUGAGCAACACAUGCUUCAAUGACAAUCUGAACUUCGAAUUAAUUUGUAAAACGGAAAUUCUUUAGAAACUUGAAGAUUAGAAAGAAUGGGUCAGAAUACUCGCACUUUCGAACAUUGAAAAGAAAGGUAUGAAUACUUGAAACAUAUACCAAAGGAAUGGAUCAGAAUAUUUGCAAUAUAUCCAAGAGAAAGGUUUAGGAUACUUGCAACACAUAUAAAAAGAAUGGAUCAGAAUAUGCAAUAUAUCCAAAAGCAGGGUGCAGGAUACUUGCCUUAAAUCUGACUCCAGUCUCACAUCUCAAUCUCAUCUUUCCACUUUCACAAUCUAUGCAUCUCAUAGUCUCUAGACCAUCUCUGGCUAUACUCUAUCUACCGUACAUCUUCGCUUCGCUUACUCGAUUCAUCCCUUAUUCACUUUGCAAUACCAUUCCGACUUCCUGACGUCUUCGAGCGUACACGUCUCGUUCAAAUCCUAUACGAGAAUAAGAUAAUACUAUAGUCACUAAACAAUAUAUCGCAUAUACAUAUCACGUAUAUCGAUACCCACUUAUAUAUCCCUUUAAACCUAUCACAUAUCACUUGACACAUAAUCAUGCUUUGACUCUAAUAUAUAGCCAAGUCAUAUUCCACAUAACAUGUUACAAAUCAAUUAUCAUAUGAAUCCUAUCGAAAAUCCGACAUCAUCUCGUCUAUUUAUUAGACUAUCCACCUGUUAUCUAAUCUCAAUCAACAAUCAACCAACCAAAUCCAAUCAUUAUAAUCCAUAUCUUCUUAUCCAAUAUCAAUCAACUCACGACACUAUGUCAUCCAAUUCUUUUAUCACACAUGUAUACUAUCAUGAAUAAACAUGUAUAUCACGUAAUCAUCAAUUAAUAGCAAUCAAUUAACAUAUAAUCACAUUGUGCACAUUUAACAACAAUUAUUCACAUUCUCGACUCCAUCAUAUUAUUAUGUUAUAUCAAACUAGACUUUAUAAGCUUCUGUCUCUCUUUCGUUUCACUUGAUUCCGACUUACGGAUCAAAAGUUAUGCUCAAAACAGUUUUCUCACUCUCCUAUCGGCACAUAACACAUCCAACCAAUAGCAGACAACACAUUACACAUAAGGUUUCCCAUCCCGAUUGAUAUCAAAUCAACUCUUGGGUUAAAAAUGAUUUUUCGGGAAUUUUCUGGAAUUUUUAAACAUUUUUUCGGAAUUAAAACGGAUAAAAGAAUCAUUUUUCAAAUAAAUAAUCAAGUCCGGAUGCUCAAAACUGGACUUGAAAUUAUUCAUAAACAAUUGUCGAGCCUUGAACAUAAUUUAGAAAAAUAUUUCAAAGCUCGAAACUAUUUUUCGGAAUUUUUAAAUCAAAAAGGAUUAAUUAAAUCCAAUUAAUUAAUCAAUUAAAAUCAAUUAAUAAUUAAUUAAAAUAAUUAAUCAAUUAAUAUUUAAAUUAAUUGACUAAUUAAAAUAAUUAAUUACUAAUUAAAAU